GACGAACGCUGGCGGCGUGCCUAACACAUGCAAGUCGAGCGAGGAGAUUCCCUUCGGGGAUGAACCUAGCGGCGGACGGGUGAGUAACACGUGGGCAACCUGCCUUAUAGAGGGGAAUAGCCUUCCGAAAGGAAGAUUAAUACCGCAUAACAUUACAUUUUCGCAUGAAGAAGUAAUUAAAGGAGUAAUCCGCUAUAAGAUGGGCCCGCGGCGCAUUAGCUAGUUGGUGAGGUAACGGCUCACCAAGGCGACGAUGCGUAGCCGACCUGAGAGGGUGAUCGGCCACAUUGGGACUGAGACACGGCCCAAACUCCUACGGGAGGCUGCAGUGGGGAAUAUUGCACAAUGGGGGAAACCCUGAUGCAGCAACGCCGCGUGAGUGAUGACGGCCUUCGGGUUGUAAAGCUCUGUCUUCAGGGACGAUAAUGACGGUACCUGAGGAGGAAGCCACGGCUAACUACGUGCCAGCAGCCGCGGUAAUACGUAGGUGGCGAGCGUUGUCCGGAUUUACUGGGCGUAAAGGGAGCGUAGGCGGACUUUUAAGUGAGAUGUGAAAUACCCGGGCUCAACUUGGGUGCUGCAUUUCAAACUGGAAGUCUAGAGUGCAGGAGAGGAUCGUGGAAUUCCAUGUGUAGCGGUGAAAUGCGUAGAUAUAUGGAAGAACACCAGUGGCGAAGGCGGCUGUCUGGUCUGUAACUGACGCUGAGGCUCGAAAGCAUGGGUAGCGAACAGGAUUAGAUACCCUGGUAGUCCACGCCGUAAACGAUGUCGAUUUGGAGGUUGUGCCCUUGAGGCGUGGCUUCCGGAGCUAACGCGUUAAAUCGACCGCCUGGGGAGUACGGCCGCAAGGUUAAAACUCAAAUGAAUUGACGGGGGCCCGCACAAGCGGUGGAGCAUGUGGUUUAAUUCGAUGCAACGCGAAGAACCUUACCUACUCUUGACAUCCAGAGAACUUUCCAGAGAUGGAUUGGUGCCUUCGGGAACUCUGAGACAGGUGCUGCAUGGCUGUCGUCAGCUCGUGUUGGGAAAUGUUGGGUUAAGUCCCGCAACGAGCGCAACCCUUAUCCUUUGUUGCCAGCGAUUCGGUCGGGAACUCAAAGGAGACUGCCGGUGAUAAACCGGAGGAAGGUGGGGAUGACGUCAAGUCAUCAUGGCCCUUACGAGUAGGGCUACACACGUGCUACAAUGGCAUAUACAAAGGGCGACAAGCUAGCGAUAGUGAGCGAAUCCCAUAAAGUAUGUCGUAGUCCGGAUUGGAGUCUGCAACUCGACUCCAUGAAGUCGGAAUCGCUAGUAAUCGCGGAUCAGAAUGCCGCGGUGAAUACGUUCCCGGGCCUUGUACACACCGCCCGUCACACCAUGGGAGUGGG
Molecule: ribosomal RNA, 1370 nt
Filed under: human gut metagenome
Description: bacterial SSU rRNA
Rfam family: Bacterial small subunit ribosomal RNA
Source: RNAcentral